Molecule: long non-coding RNA, 629 nt
Filed under: Podarcis muralis (Common wall lizard)
Lineage: Eukaryota; Metazoa; Chordata; Lepidosauria; Squamata; Lacertidae
Description: lncRNA (ENSPMRG00000014486.1)
Source: RNAcentral
GUACCUUCUUAUGUUUCAGAGAAUGAAACGCCACCGGCACCCUUUCGCCGACAGACAUAAGUAUGUUGAUGUGCUGGAUACUUUAUCUCAAACUACUUAUCCUGGUAAUUGCCUCGGCAGGCGGCAGCUCCAAGAGCCCUGUGAAACACAGCCAGGAUGCCUAGAAGUGAAAAGCCAACUGCCUCACCAAGGAAUGUGAGAAUAGAGGUUGACAAUGAUGAAGGCAGUGCUGCUGAAAGUGAAGAAGAGCAAGAAUCUGUUCAGAGAAAGGGAGCGUCAAGUAAAAAAACCAGAGAGAAAUAUGAAGAGGACGAAGAGGGCGAGGAUGAGGAUGAAGAGACUGCCGCAGAUCGUAGGCGAAAAUACAAAAGGCGGAGGAUGAAAGAUGGUGGAUUAGACAUCAGCGAAUCGGAUGGAGAAGGCUGCAAAAGCAGGAAGAACAGAGCCAACCAGAUGACCAAGGAUGGUGAUGAAGAAGAUGGGGAUAAAAAACGAAAGGACAAGAAAAAAGGGAAAAAGAAAAAAAAGAAAGACAAAAAGAAAAAAGGAUCAGGGUAAGGCCUUAUUAUGAUGAUGAUCUCUUGAAUGUAAAGUCAAUGAUGGUUGUGUUAGGCAUACUGCAGCAAUCU